GUUCCAUAGGUGAACCUGCGGAAGGAUCAUUAUUGUAUAACCGAGGUGCGAGGGCUGUCGCUGACCCGAAAGGUCGUGCACGCCCGAGUGCCCUCACACACAUCCAUCUCACCCCUAUGUGCACCACCGCGUGGGUCCCCCUUUGGCUUGUUCGGAGGGGGGCUUACGUUUUCACACAAACUUUGUAUGCAGUGUAGAAUGUAUUUUUUGUUUUUGCGAUCACGCAAUCAAUACAACUUUCAACAACGGAUCUCUUGGCUCUC
Molecule: unclassified non-coding RNA, 263 nt
Filed under: plant metagenome
Description: partial contains small subunit ribosomal RNA, internal transcribed spacer 1, and 5.8S ribosomal RNA
Source: RNAcentral